AUUUAAGUAGUUUAACUAAAAUUUCGAUUUGUGGUUUCGAAGAUACAAUAUGUUUGUCUUAAAUU
Molecule: non-coding RNA, 65 nt
Organism: Priapulus caudatus
Lineage: Eukaryota; Metazoa; Priapulida; Priapulimorpha; Priapulimorphida; Priapulidae
Source: the annotation of a RefSeq genome assembly